This 444-nucleotide non-coding RNA is filed under the name Pongo abelii (Sumatran orangutan). The record is from RNAcentral. Lineage: Eukaryota; Metazoa; Chordata; Mammalia; Primates; Hominidae.
UUUUUUUGAGACGGAGCUUCGCUCUUGUUGCCCAGGCUGGAAUGCAAUGGUGUGAUCUAGGCUCACUGCAACCUCCACCUCCCAAGCUCAAGCAAUUCACCUUCCUCAGCCUCCUGAGUAGCUGAAGGGGGAGGAUGGCUUGAGCCCGGGAGGUAGAGGUUACAGUCAGCCAAGAUAACGCCGCUGCACUCCAGUCUGGGCAACAGAGCCAGACAUUAUCUAAAAAAAAAAAGUGUUAUUGUAAAAUUUGCCCAAUAAUAUAGUCAAUACAAUAUAACUCAUACCAUGAAGCAACUGCUAAAAUUGCUAUUGCAAUCUUAGGCUAUAUUAGUAAAAGCAUACAUACAAGUAACAGGAGCUAAUAUUGCCACUGUAAUCUAUAAAGUUUAGACGACAAUCCUAGAAUAAAAUUUCAAUUAUGAACAUCUAGAUCGUAAGAAUAUG